ACGUGCAGAUCUACUAUUUUUAAAAAAAUUGCUGAUGUUCUGUUUGGAUCAUCAUUGAUUGAUUUAUUUGAUUGGGUGGCUACAAAAAUGAAGUCAAACAAAUCUCUCAUAACUAAAAAGACUAAAAGAUGGACGCCCUUUGGUGCAAUAAAGUUUAAAGUUUAUUUGUUAAAAGAACGCAAGGCCAUCAAGGUUUAUCUAUGCCUGUAGGUUUCGUCAGUUCCUGCUGCUAUAUGAUGUCAAUUUGUAUUUUGAAACAUACUACAAUACAGUACAUUAUUUCUAAUGUCAAGCUUAAGCAUUGGGCGUUGGUGGCUACGACACUGUGACACAGCCAGCUAGCAGCAUGGUAUAUAAGGCCGUGUUUAGUUCCGGUAUGAAAAAAAUUUGGUCAUACUGUAGCACUUUCGUUGUUUUGUGGUAAGUAUUAUCUAACUAUGGAUUAACUAGACUCAAAAGAUUUGCCUCGUAAAUUUCAACCAAACUGUGCAAUUAAUUUUUAUUUUUGUUUAUAUUUAAUACUCCAUGUAUGCAUCUAAAGAUUCGAUGUAACGGAGAAUCUUGAAAAAUUUUGAGUUUUGAGUGGAAGUAAACAAGGCCUAACCAAUUGACGAGGGUUGAGCUCCACAGGGACCCAGAAUAUGCAGACCUGAGGCCACCAAAAGCUGUUCUCCAUAGCUGUGCCCAUCUUUGUCAAGCUCCUCAUCCCCCACAGCGAGAAUGUUCAUAAAUGGGCAUGAGAUUAUUGUAAUUUUUAUUUAGUAUUUUUCUCAUACUCAGAACCAGUUUGCAUUGUUAGUACAUAGGAAAUCUGGAGAGCCCACUUUGUUUGAGAUGGACUCACUUGAAAAUUAUUUCAUUGACAGCGGUCUCCCAUACUCUAUGAUUGAAAAUAUUGCUGCUGGGCUAGAGUUUCCACAAGCGGAAGUAGUUGAUGAAUGGAGGAGAAAUUUUGCACUGGGCAGGAGUCUAAUGAACCCCAAGCACCUACAUGUACUCGGUACGCAGAUGUUUGCCAUGGAGGCUUCUAAAGGAAGAGUUGAUUGGAUUUCUGUUCGAAUUUGAAACCAUCUCUACUUCCAUGGCGAUGGCCUUAUCUUAGUCAAGAUGAGCGAAUUACAACAGCUAUGCCACAUGGAUGCUCUAGACAAAUCGCUCAUUAGCUGCUUUUAUUUAUCCAAAAAGGACAAUACUCUUGGAUUUGUUGAUCCUUACAUCAUUUCAAGGAGCCAAACCCUUCGGCUACUUGGAUCAAUGACAUGUGUAUGAAUCUUAUGAGGUUCUUCGUGAACCAAAAAGACAAAAAAAAAUACUCUUCCCCUACAACUUCAAGUGAGUUAUAUAUAUAUAUAUAGUUAACAUGCAAGUGUACACCUUUAAUUUUACUUAACCCUAAUCUAUGACUCAUGUCUCUAUGAACAACUUUCACUGGAUACUCAUAGUCAUCAAUCUUGCUGAAAGUAAGUUGGUAAUCUAUGACUCAAUGAAGAAACCGCAAUAAGAUUAUCAAGAUAUGAUAGACAUCAUUCAAAGAGUUUGGGAAAGAUUCAUUGUUCGGGAACAUCUAACUCUAUGUAGGGUGCCACUAAAGAUAAUACAGCUACAAUGGAUCUUGAGACAAGAACCAGGGAUCAACUUAUGUGGAUACUAGUUUGCGAGUAUAUUAUGGCAGAAACAAAUAGAAUUCCUAAAGAAUACCUGAGAACUGAAUGGCUGAAGUAAAAACUCAUGCAACAUGAACAACUCCAAGCAAUACAAGAGGCAAUAGCAGGAUUUCUUCAGGAACAAGUCAUAAAUCCAAGCGGCGAGUUCCACUAUAAUCCUAACGAGACGAUGAUUCCAAACAAUGAUGAUCAUUUGUAGACCCUGUAGAUCUUUGGAUAAUGAAGUACAACUUGUAAUAGGUUUAGAGUAUUAACUUUAGAGUACAACUUGUGCAGUAAUAGAUUUGGAGAACAACUUCUAUA
Sorghum bicolor (sorghum) is the source of this 1967-nucleotide long non-coding RNA. RefSeq lists it as uncharacterized. The transcript has 5 exons. Lineage: Eukaryota; Viridiplantae; Streptophyta; Magnoliopsida; Poales; Poaceae. The record is from RefSeq and is a predicted model, not a curated record.